This 460-nucleotide ribosomal RNA is filed under the name uncultured bacterium. RNAcentral describes it as "partial 16S ribosomal RNA". It matches the Rfam family "Bacterial small subunit ribosomal RNA", at positions 338 to 795 of the family's 1533-position model. The record is from RNAcentral.
CCUACGGGGGGCAGCAGUGAGGAAUAUUGGUCAAUGGACGAGAGUCUGAACCAGCCAAGUCGCGUGAAGGAUGACUGCCCUAUGGGUUGUAAACUUCUUUUAUAUGGGAAUAAAACGUUCCACGUGUGGGAUUUUGUAUGUACCAUAUGAAUAAGCAUCGGCUAACUCCGUGCCAGCAGCCGCGGUAAUACGGAGGAUCCGAGCGUUAUCCGGAUUUAUUGGGUUUAAAGGGAGCGUAGGUGGAUUGUUAAGUCAGUUGUGAAAGUUUGCGGCUCAACCGUAAAAUUGCAGUUGAAACUGGCAGUCUUGAGUACAGUAGAGGUGGGCGGAAUUCGUGGUGUAGCGGUGAAAUGCUUAGAUAUCACGAAGAACUCCGAUUGCGAAGGCAGUUCACUGGACUGCAACUGACACUGAGGCUCGAAAGUGUGGGUAUCAAACAGGAUUAGAUACCCUUGUAGUC